GCCCGUAUGGUGAAACGGUAGCCACGCUGGAUUCAAGAUCCAGUUCCUUCGGGAGUGGGGGUUCGACUCCCUCUACGGGCACCA
This 84-nucleotide transfer RNA is filed under the name marine sediment metagenome. RNAcentral's name for it is "tRNA-Leu". It matches the Rfam family "tRNA". Rfam says of the family: Transfer RNA (tRNA) molecules are approximately 80 nucleotides in length. Their secondary structure includes four short double-helical elements and three loops (D, anti-codon, and T loops). The record is from RNAcentral.